Molecule: ribosomal RNA, 492 nt
Filed under: uncultured bacterium
Lineage: Bacteria
Description: partial 16S ribosomal RNA
Rfam family: Bacterial small subunit ribosomal RNA
Source: RNAcentral
AGUGAACGCUGGCGGUAGGCCUAACACAUGCAAGUCGAACGGCAGCACAGUAAGAGCUUGCUCUUACGGGUGGCGAGUGGCGGACGGGUGAGGAAUACAUCGGAAUCUACUUUUUCGUGGGGGAUAACGUAGGGAAACUUACGCUAAUACCGCAUACGACCUACGGGUGAAAGCAGGGGAUCUUCGGACCUUGCGCGAUUGAAUGAGCCGAUGUCGGAUUAGCUAGUUGGCGGGGUAAAGGCCCACCAAGGCGACGAUCCGUAGCUGGUCUGAGAGGAUGAGCAGCCACACUGGAACUGAGACACGGUCCAGAGUCCUACGGGAGGCAGCAGUGGGGAAUAUUGGACAAUGGGCGCAAGCCUGAUCCAGCCAUACCGCGUGGGUGAAGAAGGCCUUCGGGUUGUAAAGCCCUUUUGUUGGGAAAGAAAAGCAGCAGGUUAAUACCACGCUGUUCUGACGGUACCCAAAGAAUAAGCACCGGCUAACUUCGUG